AGUGCAAACUCUUGACUUUCGGCUUCUUGCCUCUCAGCUUCCAACCUGCCCUUUGUCUUCUUGACCAUUUUCACCUGAAAAGUUACAAACUUGGAAAGGGAUAAGUAGAUGGAAGUGAACUUAACAGAACAUUUUGCAAGAGUGAACUUAACAGAUGAAUUUUUCAGUUUAAACUCAAGUUCAACACAAUGCAACAAUGUAACAUCUUAACACAUCUAGUGCACCCGCAAACACACCCAAUUAAGGUCAAAUUCGAAAAACCCCCAAAUCCAUGAACCCUAAUUUUGCAAAAGUGCAAAUUAAACUCAAUUUCACAGUUAAUUCAACAACCCAACAUGAUAGAUAAACUUUCC
RNAcentral lists this long non-coding RNA (353 nucleotides) under Brassica rapa (field mustard). Its description in RNAcentral is "long non-coding RNA (BRAP_LNC006905)". The record is from RNAcentral. Lineage: Eukaryota; Viridiplantae; Streptophyta; Magnoliopsida; Brassicales; Brassicaceae.